GCGUUGGGUAGCUAUGUCGGGAAAGGAUAAGCGCUGAAAGCAUCUAAGCGCCAAGCCCCCUUGAAGAUGAGAUGUCCCUGGGAUUUAUUCCCCUGAAGACCGCUUGAAGACUACAAGCUUGAUAGGAUACAAGUGUACGAGCAGCAAUGUUUUCAGCUUAGUAUUACUAACCGGUCGUGAGGCUUGACCAC
Molecule: ribosomal RNA, 191 nt
Filed under: Lentisphaeria bacterium
Lineage: Bacteria; Pseudomonadati; Lentisphaerota; Lentisphaeria
Description: partial 23S ribosomal RNA
Rfam family: Bacterial large subunit ribosomal RNA
Source: RNAcentral